Molecule: ribosomal RNA, 613 nt
Filed under: Calonarius flavovirens
Lineage: Eukaryota; Fungi; Basidiomycota; Agaricomycetes; Agaricales; Cortinariaceae
Description: eukaryotic LSU rRNA
Rfam family: 5.8S ribosomal RNA (bases 260-413)
Source: RNAcentral
AGGAUCAUUAUUGAAAUAAACCUGAUAAGUUGCUGCUGGUUCUCUAGAGAGCAUGUGCACACUUGUCAUCUUUGUAUCUUCACCUGUGAACCUUUUGUAGACCUGAGCAUCUCUCUGAAUGACUUAUUAUCAUUCAGGAUUGAGGAUUGACCUUUUUUUUNGGUCUCUUCUUAUGUUUUCAGGUCUAUGUUUUUUCAUAUAACCUCAUGUAUGUUUAUAGAAUGUAAUCAAUGGGCCCUUGUGCCUAUAAAUCUAUUACAACUUUCAGCAACGGAUCUCUUGGCUCUCGCAUCGAUGAAGAACGCAGCGAAAUGCGAUAAGUAAUGUGAAUUGCAGAAUUCAGUGAAUCAUCGAAUCUUUGAACGCACCUUGCGCUCCUUGGUAUUCCGAGGAGCAUGCCUGUUUGAGUGUCAUUAAUAUAUAUCAACCUUUUUGGUUGGAUGUGGGUUUGCUGGCCUUUUUUAGGUCAGCUCCUCUUAAAUACAUUAGCGGACAACAUUUUGCCAACCGUUCAUUGGUGUGAUAAUUAUCUACGCUCUUGACGUGAAGCAAGGUUCAGCUUAUAACAGUCCAUUGACUUGGACAGAUUUUAUUUAUUAAUGUGACCUCAAAU